AGUGCUGUGCCGGAUAAACGGGCUACCUUGAUGUGGUAAAUUAUAUAGGUGAGAGGCCUUUCAGCACUA
Molecule: transfer RNA, 69 nt
Filed under: Donax trunculus (truncated wedgeshell)
Lineage: Eukaryota; Metazoa; Mollusca; Bivalvia; Cardiida; Donacidae
Description: tRNA-Ile
Source: RNAcentral